UUAUGAUGCUAGGGGAGCUGCUUGCUGAGAGAACAGGUCUUUUCAUGUGACCUGUCAAACCCUCAACACCUGAUCCGGUCAAUGCCGGCGUAGGGAAGCAAUAUAUUUAUUUU
This is a regulatory RNA element of Firmicutes bacterium CAG:145, 113 nucleotides long. It matches the Rfam family "TPP riboswitch aptamer (THI element)". Rfam says of the family: Vitamin B(1) in its active form thiamin pyrophosphate (TPP) is an essential coenzyme that is synthesised by coupling of pyrimidine and thiazole moieties in bacteria. The previously detected thiamin-regulatory element, thi box was extended, resulting in a new, highly conserved RNA secondary structure, the THI element, which is widely distributed in eubacteria and also occurs in some archaea. Analysis of operon structures identified a large number of new candidate thiamin-regulated genes, mostly transporters, in various prokaryotic organisms. Lineage: Bacteria; Bacillati; Bacillota. The record is from Rfam.